Molecule: small nuclear RNA, 64 nt
Organism: Erinaceus europaeus (western European hedgehog)
Lineage: Eukaryota; Metazoa; Chordata; Mammalia; Eulipotyphla; Erinaceidae
Gene: U7
Rfam family: U7 small nuclear RNA
About the family: Animal histone pre-mRNAs are spliced by a different mechanism than nuclear pre-mRNAs and self-splicing introns. This processing involves the U7 snRNP, which contains only one RNA species: U7.
Source: Ensembl
UAGUUUUACAGCUAUUUUAGAAUUUGUCAAGCAGGUCUUCUGGUCUCUACUGGAAGGAGCUCAA